UACGUAGGGGGCAAGCGUUGUCCGGAUUUAUUGGGCGUAAAGAGCGUGUAGGCGGCCAGCCAGGUCUGCUGUGAAAACUCGAGGCUCAACCUCGAGACGCCGGUGGAAACCGUUUGGCUAGAGUCCGGAAGAGGAGAGUGGAAUUCCUGGUGUAGCGGUGAAAUGCGCAGAUAUCAGGAAGAACACCCGUGGCUAAGGCGGCUCUCUAGUACGGUACUGACGCUGAGACGCGAAAGCGUGGGGAGCGAACAGG
RNAcentral lists this ribosomal RNA (253 nucleotides) under uncultured bacterium. RNAcentral describes it as "partial 16S ribosomal RNA". It matches the Rfam family "Bacterial small subunit ribosomal RNA", at positions 524 to 776 of the family's 1533-position model. The record is from RNAcentral.